This 1344-nucleotide long non-coding RNA is filed under the name Capra hircus (goat). RNAcentral's name for it is "lncRNA (ENSCHIG00000005402.1)". Lineage: Eukaryota; Metazoa; Chordata; Mammalia; Artiodactyla; Bovidae. The record is from RNAcentral.
GUGUGCGUGCGGGUGGGGUGGGCUGGGGUGGCAGCGGGGAGGGGGUGUCCUCCCCUCCCCUCCCCUCCCCUCCCCUGGGGCCCGCCCCCACCUCUGCCCCGCGCUAGGCAGGAGGGCGGGGCGCCCGGCGAGGGGCUCAGGCGCGGCGGCGGCUGUCACUCACGCACUCACGCGGGAGGAAUGCAGACGGCAGGGCUGCCCUGUGGUCACGUCUCCGCCCCACCGACGGAGGCGCUGCUCCCAUGGGGAUGGUCAGCCAGCCGAGGCCCCUGCUUCAUCACUUGCUGUCUGCUGGAGAACAUCAAACAGUUCGGAACUGGGUCCGUCUUGGUCAUCUUUCGCCCUUGAUUCUGAAUUUCUCUUAUUUUAGCUGUAUGUCCUCCUACCUCAUCUUGGAGAGAAGAUUCUAGAGACCGUGGAGAAAAGGAGAAAAAACUUUCUUCCUAAAUAUCCCUCUUAACCUUUCUUCACCAUUCAACACCCAUACCUACGUCUCUGUCCAGGCUUUCAUCUUUUCUUACCCCAAAAUUAUUUCAACAGGACCCCUGAAAAGUCCCCCCAGACUCCUUAUUUCCCUCUAAUCUAUUCCCCAGAACUUCCAUUGUCAUCUUGCUAAUGUGAGGAUGUAACCAUGCCAUGUCUCUGUUCAACACCCUUCAAUGCAGUACUGCCCUUAGAGCCAGCAAGAGGGCCCCCUGCUCCAAGACCCUCAAAACAUGAAUACGACACUGGUGCAACGUUUGCUGAAACACGCUUGGAUGCCUAGAUGAUGCAGGAUCUGGUCCUGAGUGCUGCCUGGCACAACCCAGAACUUUAAACAUCUGCUCUUGUGAUUAACACGGAUCACACCAGGAUGGUCUUGCUCUAAGAUCGUGAAGCAAAAAGCAGCUGUGUCUGUAUGCCAUCCCAACGUUACUCUACGAGUGACGUCAGUGAACGCUGUGCAAGUGCUCAGGCGAAAUGAAAAGGAAAUGGAUGUACUUGCUAAAUCCUUCCUUGCAGCUAGCAUACAUGCAAUGUUAUUUUAAAGAAAAAAUUCAAGAAUAAUGCAACGGAUUCUUUUUUUUUUUCGCAAUGGAUUCUUAUGUAAUAAAAUUUCCUGGUAGUAUUAACCAUCCAUGUUCCUGCUUCUGUCUGAGUUACAGAAGUACACAAAAAUUGGCAUAAUAUUAAAAACAGAUGCACAUUGCAGGUGAGAAAUAUUUUAUUUUACUAAAUAAUUUAACAAUUUACAUAAAUGUAAGUCUAGGUGUACCACAUGUGAAAUUUGAUAGUGAAUCUUUAUAUUGGUAAUUCAAUGGGCACUGAACAUUGGAAUUACAAAACAUUAUAUCUUAUAAAAAU